Molecule: long non-coding RNA, 564 nt
Filed under: Citrus maxima (pomelo)
Lineage: Eukaryota; Viridiplantae; Streptophyta; Magnoliopsida; Sapindales; Rutaceae
Description: long non-coding RNA (CMAX_LNC003221)
Source: RNAcentral
AUAUACUUAUGAGACCACUUUCAUUGCACAAAUCUUAAUUACAAGCUAGAGAAACAGAAAUAGACACGGUAUCUAUCUAAUGGUAUAAUGCCUGUGUCAAAAGUUGAGGACCAUUACGUAAGACUGAACGACGAAUGAACUAGGAGUGAUGAGUGAAUAGUGAUUAGUGGGAAACGUACUCUGCACUAGCAGUAUAAGCAGCCAGUGGAUUGAACACCUGAGUGGUCUCUCUGUCUUCUCUGUUAUUGCCAUACCAAAACCUCUGCUGUACUUCCUAAACCAGCUGGGACGACAACAUCUUCAUUCCUUAACCCGUUGGCAUGUGACUUCCACGUGUUCAAUAUUAAAGCUCCCAUCACAUGCCAUGGUCUCAUUGGCAAAUGGCAAAUGGCAAAUAGCAGGCGGGAACCUCCAUUCUUCAAUCAAAUUAUGCUACUCGAAUAAACCAGAAAAUUCUUUAGCAAAGUAAUCAAUCAUGGGUUAGAGAUGAGAGAGGUACAACUUUGUCCUUUGAUAAAGUUUUCUUAUCCUCUAAUCUCAGCUGCUUCCAGCCCCAAACAAAAU